ACUCUGAAGCGCAGGAAGCGCUCAGGAUCAGGAUGAUCGACCAUUGCCAGGAAGGCGCUCGAAUGGAAUCGGAUAGGUCAGAAAAACCCGCUUCGGCGGGUUUUU
RNAcentral lists this small RNA (105 nucleotides) under Stutzerimonas stutzeri. The record is from RNAcentral. Lineage: Bacteria; Pseudomonadati; Pseudomonadota; Gammaproteobacteria; Pseudomonadales; Pseudomonadaceae.